This 1080-nucleotide ribosomal RNA is filed under the name bacterium. RNAcentral describes it as "bacterial SSU rRNA". It matches the Rfam family "Bacterial small subunit ribosomal RNA", at positions 382 to 1473 of the family's 1533-position model. The record is from RNAcentral.
CCUGAAACCAGCCAUGCCGCGUGCAGGAUGACUGCCCUAUGGGUUGUAAACUGCUUUUGUCCAGGAAUAAACCCUAUAUACGAGUAGAUAGCUGAAUGUACUGGAAGAAUAAGGAUCGGCUAACUCCGUGCCAGCAGCCGCGGUAAUACGGAGGAUCCGAGCGUUAUCCGGAUUUAUUGGGUUUAAAGGGUGCGUAGGCGGCCUAUUAAGUCAGGGGUGAAAUACGGUGGCUCAACCAUCGCAGUGCCUUUGAUACUGAUGGGCUUGAAUCCAUUUGAAGUGGGCGGAAUAAGACAAGUAGCGGUGAAAUGCAUAGAUAUGUCUUAGAACUCCGAUUGCGAAGGCAGCUCACUAAGCUGGUAUUGACGCUGAUGCACGAAAGCGUGGGGAUCGAACAGGAUUAGAUACCCUGGUAGUCCACGCCCUAAACGAUGAUAACUCGAUGUUGGCGAUAGACAGCCAGCGUCCCAGCGAAAGCGUUAAGUUAUCCACCUGGGGAGUACGCCCGCAAGGGUGAAACUCAAAGGAAUUGACGGGGGCCCGCACAAGCGGAGGAGCAUGUGGUUUAAUUCGAUGAUACGCGAGGAACCUUACCCGGGCUUGAAAGUUAGUGAAGGGUGCAGAGACGCACCCGUCCUUCGGGACACGAAACUAGGUGCUGCAUGGCUGUCGUCAGCUCGUGCCGUGAGGUGUUGGGUUAAGUCCCGCAACGAGCGCAACCCCUAUGUUUAGUUGCCAGCAUUUAAGGUGGGGACUCUAAACAGACUGCCUGUGCAAACAGUGAGGAAGGUGGGGACGACGUCAAGUCAUCAUGGCCCUUACGUCCGGGGCUACACACGUGCUACAAUGGAUGGUACAGCGGGCAGCUACAUAGCAAUAUGAUGCUAAUCUCUAAAAGCCAUUCACAGUUCGGAUUGGGGUCUGCAACUCGACCCCAUGAAGUUGGAUUCGCUAGUAAUCGCGUAUCAGCAAUGACGCGGUGAAUACGUUCCCGGGCCUUGUACACACCGCCCGUCAAGCCAUGAAAGUUGGGGGUACCUAAAGCAUGUUACCGCGAGGAGCGUUCAGGUAAGCCCGAGU